CGAGAACAGGUCCAAGUCAUACAGCUUCAACAGUCCUGACGGCAGCGGCAACAUAGACGGCUUAGGCAGCUCCAGCAAUCCAGAGCUCGAGAGGAGGAAAAGGGUUGCAGCUUACAACAUGUAUGCCGUGGAAGGCACUCACCAUUGGAAGAUAUUUCUCGUAACCUACGAAAGCGCCGCAAGAGCCUAACCGAAUCCGUACGGCAUCCAAAGCAAGAUUCUUUUCAGUAAUGAAUCCCAAAUAUCCGCUCUAAAUACUGCUGACUGCAUUCAACAGAGUUGCCGUCGGAUCGGUUUUGGCCAUCGUUAAUCUUAAAAUGAGACCCAGUUUCGUACCCUGUGCUACUAAUAUUGUUGAUCGCUUCCAUCCCUCUUGCAAGGAUCACAGGCUUAUAAGGCUCAACAAGGGUGGGCUCUCCGGUCAAUCGAACUCGAUUAUCCUCGUGCGCUAAUCUUGCUUUGGUUGUCCUAAUCGGCACAUAUUUAAGCUCCUGUUCGAACAAAACUGCUCCUCUGGUGUAAUUCGCCCGGUCUAUUGCUGGCAAAUGCAUUUGCGUGGCGAUCGAAUGCGAUAUAGUUGCUUUGGGAAUGAAUUUAUAAUACAUAUCUUCAACAUAUUCGAGUCAGUGAUUUUCUGCCACGGUGAUGUUCUAACAGAAGAAUGACUUACCCUAUUAUUUUUCAGAGAAUUAUAUGCAUGUGAUUCAGUUCAUGACAAGAGUUAGAGAAAUAUUAUAUAUUUGUAAAGUUUAAACUUAUUCAAUACAAAAAAUACAGUUUAUUCUUCACAUACAAUACAGUUAUUCUGGGUUUAAUAGACUGCUGUUCCUCUUCUUCACUGAAAACCUGGACCGUCUAUGGCAUCCCACGCAACAGAGGUUACUUAUGUGGCAUCUCGGGUGCCGUUGAUGUGCUGAUUGUGAUGGGCACUGAACAUAUUAGGGAGGAUUAUCCUUGAUGGCCUUAUCUUUGUCGAAUUCAUAGAGUUUUGCUAUCUUUUCCAGAUCUAGACUUCGGAAAUCGAUUGAAGAAAGAGACCUCCGAUAAUGAGGCAGUAUUUUGCCUUCAUUCGGGUUGAUGAUAUCCCUUAUGUAGGCCUGCAAGAGUGUAGGGUUCUUGAUGUUCUUGAGAGCAUUGGGAUGAAACUCAGUUGUUGGUGCCCCUCUUUUGAUCAGAACGACCAGCUGGGGAUAAGGAUGCAUCCGAGCUUAUGUCAUUCCGAGUUGUUGUGACGCUAGAGGAGGCGCUGCUUCCACUGUAACCCAUUUCUUGGCUCUGCAUGUGUGCCUCUGCUUUCUUCCCCUGCAAUGAGUUUUAAGGAAAACAUAAAGAAGAAAGAAGAAACUCAUUUAUAUGCAGCGGCAUGUGCUCGGUACGCCAUUGAAAGAAGAAGAGGUAGUUCAAGUGGAUUCAAACUAUUCUUCAUGUUGUUUAUCUUAGAUUUUUCAUUUUGAUUGAUGUAAUGCCUUAGUAGUUUUUCAUGUAAAUGGUUAACCUAUGAAAUCAUUUAAUAUGCGACAGAAUUAUUGGUAUGAUUAGAGAUAAACAAUUAAUGAUGAAUAUUUCUCAUA
This is a long non-coding RNA of Carya illinoinensis, 1571 nucleotides long. RefSeq lists it as uncharacterized. The transcript is spliced from 2 exons. The record is from RefSeq and is a predicted model, not a curated record. Lineage: Eukaryota; Viridiplantae; Streptophyta; Magnoliopsida; Fagales; Juglandaceae.